Molecule: ribosomal RNA, 1335 nt
Filed under: Lactiplantibacillus plantarum
Lineage: Bacteria; Bacillati; Bacillota; Bacilli; Lactobacillales; Lactobacillaceae
Description: bacterial SSU rRNA
Rfam family: Bacterial small subunit ribosomal RNA
Source: RNAcentral
GCAAGUCGAACGAACUCUGGUAUUGAUUGGUGCUUGCAUCAUGAUUUACAUUUGAGUGAGUGGCGAACUGGUGAGUAACACGUGGGAAACCUGCCCAGAAGCGGGGGAUAACACCUGGAAACAGAUGCUAAUACCGCAUAACAACUUGGACCGCAUGGUCCGAGUUUGAAAGAUGGCUUCGGCUAUCACUUUUGGAUGGUCCCGCGGCGUAUUAGCUAGAUGGUGGGGUAACGGCUCACCAUGGCAAUGAUACGUAGCCGACCUGAGAGGGUAAUCGGCCACAUUGGGACUGAGACACGGCCCAAACUCCUACGGGAGGCAGCAGUAGGGAAUCUUCCACAAUGGACGAAAGUCUGAUGGAGCAACGCCGCGUGAGUGAAGAAGGGUUUCGGCUCGUAAAACUCUGUUGUUAAAGAAGAACAUAUCUGAGAGUAACUGUUCAGGUAUUGACGGUAUUUAACCAGAAAGCCACGGCUAACUACGUGCCAGCAGCCGCGGUAAUACGUAGGUGGCAAGCGUUGUCCGGAUUUAUUGGGCGUAAAGCGAGCGCAGGCGGUUUUUUAAGUCUGAUGUGAAAGCCUUCGGCUCAACCGAAGAAGUGCAUCGGAAACUGGGAAACUUGAGUGCAGAAGAGGACAGUGGAACUCCAUGUGUAGCGGUGAAAUGCGUAGAUAUAUGGAAGAACACCAGUGGCGAAGGCGGCUGUCUGGUCUGUAACUGACGCUGAGGCUCGAAAGUAUGGGUAGCAAACAGGAUUAGAUACCCUGGUAGUCCAUACCGUAAACGAUGAAUGCUAAGUGUUGGAGGGUUUCCGCCCUUCAGUGCUGCAGCUAACGCAUUAAGCAUUCCGCCUGGGGAGUACGGCCGCAAGGCUGAAACUCAAAGGAAUUGACGGGGGCCCGCACAAGCGGUGGAGCAUGUGGUUUAAUUCGAAGCUACGCGAAGAACCUUACCAGGUCUUGACAUACUAUGCAAAUCUAAGAGAUUAGACGUUCCCUUCGGGGACAUGGAUACAGGUGGUGCAUGGUUGUCGUCAGCUCGUGUCGUGAGAUGUUGGGUUAAGUCCCGCAACGAGCGCAACCCUUAUUAUCAGUUGCCAGCAUUAAGUUGGGCACUCUGGUGAGACUGCCGGUGACAAACCGGAGGAAGGUGGGGAUGACGUCAAAUCAUCAUGCCCCUUAUGACCUGGGCUACACACGUGCUACAAUGGAUGGUACAACGAGUUGCGAACUCGCGAGAGUAAGCUAAUCUCUUAAAGCCAUUCUCAGUUCGGAUUGUAGGCUGCAACUCGCCUACAUGAAGUCGGAAUCGCUAGUAAUCGCGGAUCAGCAGCCU